GUGGGGAAUAUUGGACAAUGGGCGAAAGCCUGAUCCAGCAAUGCCGCGUGAGUGAUGAAGGCCCUAGGGUUGUAAAGCUCUUUUACCCGGGAUGAUAAUGACAGUACCGGGAGAAUAAGCUCCGGCUAACUUCGUGCCAGCAGCCGCGGUAAUACGAGGGGAGCUAGCGUUGUUCGGAAUUACUGGGCGUAAAGCGCGCGUAGGCGGUUUUUUAAGUCAGAGGUGAAAGCCCGGGGCUCAACCCCGGAAUAGCCUUUGAGACUGGAUUGCUAGAAUCCUGGAGAGGUGAGUGGAAUUCCGAGUGUAGAGGUGAAAUUCGUAGAUAUUCGGAAGAACACCAGUGGCGAAGGCGGCUCACUGGACAGGUAUUGACGCUGAGGUGCGAAAGCGUGGGGAGCAAACAGGAUUAGAUACCCGAGUAGUCC
Molecule: ribosomal RNA, 425 nt
Filed under: uncultured bacterium
Lineage: Bacteria
Description: partial 16S ribosomal RNA
Rfam family: Bacterial small subunit ribosomal RNA
Source: RNAcentral